GGUUAUUAUUGUUCAGAUGAUUCAGCUAAGCUAGCUAAGAGCUGCAACAGUCAACUUUCUGAGCUGUAAAUAGAGAUGAGAGUGCUUAUGUGUUGAUCCUUAAUGGUGUGAUCAUGUACACUAAAUGAUCAAUUAUUCUCCAUUACAGGUUGUUGUGAUAUAUUUGAGGAGUCGUUCUCCCUCUGUUUUAUAUGUGGACAUUUGGGACCACUGUUAGAAUUUGGUUGACCACUUGACAUGUGAGAGCCUGAGGAGUUGUUCACCCUCUGUCCAUGUUCGAGGACUUGCUCUCUGUCUGCCUCCACUCUCUGCCUUCACUGUACCAAAGUUUGUCUGUUGAGUCUCCUCUAGUCUGGUUGACCACUUGACAUGUGAGAGCCUGAGGAGUUGUUUUCCAGACACAGGUAGAGC
Long non-coding RNA from Pleuronectes platessa (European plaice), 411 nucleotides. RefSeq lists it as uncharacterized. The transcript is spliced from 3 exons. The record is from RefSeq and is a predicted model, not a curated record. NCBI's taxonomy places the organism in Eukaryota, Metazoa, Chordata, Actinopteri, Pleuronectiformes, Pleuronectidae.